AUAAAUUUUUUUAGUAUUAAUUAAAUUAAAUUUAUUAAUAAUAAUAAAAUUAAAUAUAUUAAGUGAAAUUUUAUAUUUAAAUUAUUAUAUAAAAAUGUAAUUGAGGUUAAAAAAUUUUAAUAAAAAACUAGGAUUAGAUACCCUAUUAUUUAAAAUGUAAAUAAAUUGCUAAAGUAGUAAUAGUUAUGUUCUUGAAACUUAAAAAAUUUGGCGGUAUUUUAGUCUAUCUAGAGGAACCUGUUUUUUAAUCGAUAAUCCACGAUGGACCUUACUUAAAUUUGUAAUCAGUUUAUAUACCGUCGUUAUCAGAAUAUUUUAUAAGAAUAAUAAUAUUCAAUAAUUUUAAUAAAAAUUUAUAUCAGAUCAAGGUGUAGCUUAUAUUUAAGUAAUAAUGGGUUACAAUAAAUUUAUUUAUAUGAAUAAAAUUAUGAAAAAAUUUUUGAAAGUGGAUUUAGUAGUAAAAUUAUAAAGAUUAAUAAUUUGAUUUUAGCUCUAAAAUAUGUACACAUCGCCCGUCGCUCUUAUUAUUAAGGUAAGAUAAGUCGUAACAUAGUAGAUGUACUGGAAAGUGUAUCUAGAAUGA
Molecule: ribosomal RNA, 583 nt
Filed under: Drosophila melanogaster (fruit fly)
Lineage: Eukaryota; Metazoa; Arthropoda; Insecta; Diptera; Drosophilidae
Description: partial 12S ribosomal RNA
Source: RNAcentral